UACGUAGGUGGCAAGCGUUAUCCGGAAUUAUUGGGCGUAAAGCGCGCGCAGGCGGUUUCUUAAGUCUGAUGUGAAAGCCCACGGCUCAACCGUGGAGGGUCAUUGGAAACUGGGGAACUUGAGUGCAGAAGGGAAAAGCGGAAUUCCACGUGUAGCGGUGAAAUGCGUAGAGAUGUGGAGGAACACCAGUGGCGAAGGCGGCUUUUUGGUCUGUAACUGACGCUGAGGCGCGAAAGCGUGGGGAGCAAACAGG
Molecule: ribosomal RNA, 253 nt
Filed under: uncultured bacterium
Lineage: Bacteria
Description: partial 16S ribosomal RNA
Rfam family: Bacterial small subunit ribosomal RNA
Source: RNAcentral